UCAGUAGGCGGUGUGGCAAGUCGGGAGUGAAAUCUCUGGGCUUAACCCAGAGACUGCUUCCGAAACUGCUGUGCUCGAGUUUGGGAGAGGCGCGUGGAAUUGCAGGUGUAGCGGUGAAAUGCGUAGAUAUCUGCAGGAACACCCGUGGCGAAAGCGGCGCGCUGGACCACAACUGACGCUGAAUGACGAAAGCUAGGGGAGCAAACAGGAUUAGAUACCCUGGUAGUCCUAGCCCUAAACGAUCAGGACUUGGGGUGCCGCCCGUUCGGGCGUCGUCCCGGAGCUAACGCGUUAAGUCCUGCACCUGGGGAGUACGGUCGCAAGACUGAA
RNAcentral lists this ribosomal RNA (330 nucleotides) under uncultured bacterium. RNAcentral's name for it is "bacterial SSU rRNA". It matches the Rfam family "Bacterial small subunit ribosomal RNA", at positions 568 to 898 of the family's 1533-position model. The record is from RNAcentral.